CAUGCAAGUCGAACGAGGAUAUAUCCUUCGGGAUAUAAGCCGAGUGGCGCAAGGGUGAGUAAUGCAUAGAUUACCUGCCUCUAGGAUAAGGACAACUUUGUGAAAACGAAGCUAAUACUUAAUAAUACAAAAGAAAAUAAUUUUCUUUUGUCAAUGGGAGGGUAGCAAUACCUUUUGCCUAGAGAGGGGUUUAUGUCCUAUCAGCUUGUUGGUGGGGUAAUGGCCUACCAAGGCGAAGACGGGUAGCCGGUCUUAGAGGAUGGUCGGCCACACUGGGACUGAGACACUGCCCAGACUUCUACGGAAGGCUGCAGUCGAGAAUCUUUCGCAAUGCCCGAAAGGGUGACGAAGCGACGCCGCGUGAGUGAGGAAGGCCUUAGGGUUGUAAAGCUCUGUCAGGAGUUAAGAAAUAUAAGUGUGCUAAUACCACGUUUAUUUGACGAAGGCUCCAAAGGAAGCCACGGCUAACUCUGUGCCAGCAGCCGCGGUAAUACAGAGGUGGCAAGCGUUGUUCGGAAUUAUUGGGCGUAAAGAGCACGUAGGUGGGUUUGUAAGUCAGAUGUGAAAGCCUUCUGUUCAACGGAAGAAUUGCAUCUGAAACUGCAAGUCUUGAGUGUAGGAGGGGAGAAUGGAACUUCUGGUGGAGCGGUGAAAUGCGUAGAUAUCAGAAGGAACGCCGGCGGCGAAAGCGAUUCUCUGGCCUAUUACUGACGCUCAGUGUGCGAAAGCUAGGGGAGCAAACGGGAUUAGAUACCCCGGUAGUCCUAGCCGUAAACGAUGGGCACUAAGUAGAGGGAAUUACCGAUGUUCUCUCUGCCGUAGCUAACGCAUUAAGUGCCCCGCCUGGGGAGUACGGCCGCAAGGCUAAAACUCAAAAGAAUUGACGGGGGCUCGCACAAGCGGUGGAGCAUGUGGCUUAAUUCGAUGCAACGCGAAAAACCUUACCGGGGCUUGACAUGGUAGAAGUAGGAACCCGAAAGGGUAACGAACGGUAUCCAGUCCAUAGCUAUCACAGGUGUUGCAUGGCUGUCGUCAGCUCGUGUCGUGAGAUGUUGGGUUAAGUCCCCUAACGAGCGAAACCCUUGUUUUUAGUUACCAGCGGGUUAUGCCGGGUACUCUAGAAAGACUGCCGUCGUCAAGACGGAGGAAGGUGGGGAUGACGUCAAGUCAUCAUGGCCCUUAUGCCCCGGGCUGCACACGUGCUACAAUGGUCGGUACAAACGGAAGCGAAGCCGAGAGGUGAAGCGAAUCCUAAAAAGCCGAUCUCAGUUCGGAUUGGAGGCUGAAAUUCGCCUCCAUGAAGUUGGAAUCGCUAGUAAUCGCGGAUCAGCAAUGCCGCGGUGAAUAUGUUCCCGAGCCUUGUACACACCGCCCGUCAAGCCACCCAAGCAGGAUGCACCCGAAAACAUUAUAUCUAACCAGGGCAACUUGGAGGAAAGUGUUGAAGGAGUGUUUUGUGAGGAGGACUAAGUCGUAACAAGGUAGUCGUAGGAGAACCUGCGGCUGGAUCACCUCCUU
This 1518-nucleotide ribosomal RNA is filed under the name uncultured Planctomycetales bacterium. RNAcentral describes it as "16S ribosomal RNA". It matches the Rfam family "Bacterial small subunit ribosomal RNA". The record is from RNAcentral. Lineage: Bacteria; Pseudomonadati; Planctomycetota; Planctomycetia; Planctomycetales.